RNAcentral lists this RNase P RNA (371 nucleotides) under Planctomycetota bacterium. RNAcentral describes it as "Planctomycetes bacterium RNase P RNA component class A". It matches the Rfam family "Bacterial RNase P class A". From Rfam's summary of the family: Ribonuclease P (RNase P) is a ubiquitous endoribonuclease, found in archaea, bacteria and eukarya as well as chloroplasts and mitochondria. Its best characterised activity is the generation of mature 5'-ends of tRNAs by cleaving the 5'-leader elements of precursor-tRNAs. The record is from RNAcentral. Lineage: Bacteria; Pseudomonadati; Planctomycetota.
UGAGUGGCCUAGGCGGCCGCUCGCGGGCCGGCCAAUUGGCUGGGCCGCGGGAGGAAAGUCCGGGCUCCGCGGGCCAGGGUGGUUGCUAACGGCAACCGGCCGUGAGGCUAGGGAAAGUGCCACAGAAAACAAACCGCCGUCCCCGGACGGUAAGGGUGAAACGGUGCGGUAAGAGCGCACCGCGGUCCUGGUGACAGGGCUGGCAGGGCAAACCCCACCUGGAGAAAGAUCAAAUAGGGAAGGUUUGGCGACGGCCCGCGCCGCAGCCUUCCGGGUAGGUCGUUCGAGGCCGGGUGCGAGCCAGGUCCCAGAGAAAUGGUCGCCGCCCCUUUCGGGGGGAACAGAACCCGGCUUAGGGGGCCGCUCACACG